AGCUGGUUCUCCCCGAAAGCUAUUUAGGUAGCGCCUCGUGAAUUCAUCUCCGGGGGUAGAGCACUGUUUCGGCUAGGGGGCCAUCCCGGCUUACCAACCCGAUGCAAACUGCGAAUACCGGAGAAUGUUAUCACGGGAGACACACGGCGGGUGCUAACGUCCGUCGUGAAGAGGGAAACAACCCAGACCGCCAGCUAAGGUCCCAAAGUCAUGGUUAAGUGGGAAACGAUGUGGGAAGGCCCAGACAGCCAGGAUGUUGGCUUAGAAGCAGCCAUCAUUUAAAGAAAGCGUAAUAGCUCACUGGUCGAGUCGGCCUGCGCGGAAGAUGUAACGGGGCUAAACCAUGCACCGAAGCUGCGGCAGCGACGCUGAUGCGUUGUUGGGUAGGGGAGCGUUCUGUAAGCCUGUGAAGGUGGCCUGUGAGGGUUGCUGGAGGUAUCAGAAGUGCGAAUGCUGACAUAAGUAACGAUAAAGCGGGUGAAAAGCCCGCUCGCCGGAAGACCAAGGGUUCCUGUCCAACGUUAAUCGGGGCAGGGUGAGUCGACCCCUAAGGCGAGGCCGAAAGGCGUAGUCGAUGGGAAACGGGUUAAUAUUCCCGUACUUGGUGUUACUGCGAAGGGGGGACGGAGAAGGCUAUGUUGGCCGGGCGACGGUUGUCCCGGUUUAAGCGUGUAGGUGUGUGUUCCAGGUAAAUCCGGUUCACUUUAACACUGAGGCGUGAUGACGAGGCACUACGGUGCUGAAGCAACAAAUGCCCUGCUUCCAGGAAAAGCCUCUAAGCAUCAGGUAACAUCAAAUCGUACCCCAAACCGACACAGGUGGUCAGGUAGAGAAUACCAAGGCGCUUGAGAGAACUCGGGUGAAGGAACUAGGCAAAAUGGUGCCGUAACUUCGGGAGAAGGCACGCUGACACGUAGGUGAAGUGAUUUACUCAUGGAGCUGAAGUCAGUCGAAGAUACCAGCUGGCUGCAACUGUUUAUUAAAAACACAGCACUGUGCAAACACGAAAGUGGACGUAUACGGUGUGACGCCUGCCCGGUGCCGGAAGGUUAAUUGAUGGGGUCAGCGCAAGCGAAGCUCCUGAUCGAAGCCCCGGUAAACGGCGGCCGUAACUAUAACGGUCCUAAGGUAGCGAAAUUCCUUGUCGGGUAAGUUCCGACCUGCACGAAUGGCGUAAUGAUGGCCAGGCUGUCUCCACCCGAGACUCAGUGAAAUUGAACUCGCUGUGAAGAUGCAGUGUACCCGCGGCAAGACGGAAAGACCCCGUGAACCUUUACUAUAGCUUGACACUGAACAUUGAGCCUUGAUGUGUAGGAUAGGUGGGAGGCUUUGAAGUGUGGACGCCAGUCUGCAUGGAGCCGGCCUUGAAAUACCACCCUUUAAUGUUUGAUGUUCUAACGUGGACCCGUGAUCCGGGUUGCGGACAGUGUCUGGUGGGUAGUUUGACUGGGGCGGUCUCCUCCUAAAGAGUAACGGAGGAGCACGAAGGUUGGCUAAUCCUGGUCGGACAUCAGGAGGUUAGUGCAAUGGCAUAAGCCAGCUUGACUGCGAGCGUGACGGCGCGAGCAGGUGCGAAAGCAGGUCAUAGUGAUCCGGUGGUUCUGAAUGGAAGGGCCAUCGCUCAACGGAUAAAAGGUACUCCGGGGAUAACAGGCUGAUACCGCCCAAGAGUUCAUAUCGACGGCGGUGUUUGGCACCUCGAUGUCGGCUCAUCACAUCCUGGGGCUGAAGUAGGUCCCAAGGGUAUGGCUGUUCGCCAUUUAAAGUGGUACGCGAGCUGGGUUUAGAACGUCGUGAGACAGUUCGGUCCCUAUCUGCCGUGGGCGCUGGAGAACUGAGGGGGGCUGCUCCUAGUACGAGAGGACCGGAGUGGACGCAUCACUGGUGUUCGGGUUGUCAUGCCAAUGGCACUGCCCGGUAGCUAAAUGCGGAAGAGAUAAGUGCUGAAAGCAUCUAAGCACGAAACUUGCCCCGAGAUGAGUUCUCCCUGAGACUUUAGGUCUCCUGAAGGAACGUUGAAGACGACGACGUUGAUAGGCCGGGUGUGUAAGCGCAGCGAUGCGUUGAGCUAACCGGUACUAAUGAACCGUGAGGCUUAACCUUACA
RNAcentral lists this ribosomal RNA (2106 nucleotides) under Salmonella enterica. RNAcentral describes it as "bacterial LSU rRNA". It matches the Rfam family "Bacterial large subunit ribosomal RNA", at positions 847 to 2925 of the family's 2925-position model. The record is from RNAcentral. Lineage: Bacteria; Pseudomonadati; Pseudomonadota; Gammaproteobacteria; Enterobacterales; Enterobacteriaceae.